This 8870-nucleotide long non-coding RNA is filed under the name Homo sapiens (human). Its description in RNAcentral is "non-protein coding LINC00599:17". The stretch from base 1807 to 1879 matches the Rfam family "mir-124 microRNA precursor family". Lineage: Eukaryota; Metazoa; Chordata; Mammalia; Primates; Hominidae. The record is from RNAcentral.
AGUUCACGCGAAGGGCUGGAUUUCCAGGCGGCUCCGCAACUUGCGCGGCGCGGUGUUAUUAUUCAUCCGAGGGUGCUGCCUCCUCAACCUUUGCCUCCUGCGCCGCUCUCCUUCCCCCGGCCGCCGCCGCCAGCAGUGCAGUCCCUCCGGCACGCAUGCUCUGGUUCACCAAGAGGGAGACUGAUUUUUUUUAAAUCAUGCUCAUCAUCAUCAUCAUCAUCAUCAUCAUCAUCAUCACGUUCCUUAUCAUGGUUAUCAUUUCCUCCUGCCAGGUGGAGCGACCACCAGCGCCGGCUCGCCUCCUGCGCCUUCCCCAGCGAAGGCAGCAAGCAGUUCGGGCUUGGCCGUGGCGGCCGCUCCCAGGAUGCUUCCUGCACCUCCAGCAUCCCCCCCCUUAUUCAUCUGCCUGUGUAUUAUCUCGAUCCUUUUCAUUUCAGUAGAUCCACUGCCUUUGGUUGGGCCGGCUGAAUCGCUGGGGACUGCGGCCAGUCUCUUAAAAAAGGAGAACAAAAAGCCGAAGACCUUGUGUGGCCGCCGGGACAAAGCACCUUGGGUUCGGCGAGAAGGGACGCGCAGGAGCGCUGAACCCAGAACACGCGUGGCCGCUGCGGAAGGGCGUCCGCCCGGCGUGCGGAACGCUGAGGGGACUCUCAUCCUCUGUCUCGCCCCCUUUUUUUGACCCGGGGAUCCAGCCGCAUUAUACACGAGUGACCUUUUAAAUCUACGUCCACCCUUUACCUGGUAAAGCCCGCUGACAGUUGGGGGUGGGGUGGGGAGAGUGUAGGGGUGCUCUCUCCCUCUCUCCCUCCCUCCGCCUCUCCUCCCUCCCUCCCCCCUGCACUCCUCUCUCUUCCUCCCUCCCACCUCCCUCGCUCCCGCCCUCCCUGCUGCAUUUUGCAUGAGCUAUCUAGGUCAUUAGCAUUUUAGCGUAUGCAAGACUUGACAAAGCUGAUGAGGGGCCAGAUGGGCCUCGCUCUUAUGGUUUUUUUUUCUUCUUCUUCUUCUUCUUCCUCUCUCUCUCUCUCUCUCUGUCUCUCUCUCUCUCGUCUCUCUUCCUUUCCCCCCUCCACCACUUGGGACCUGAGCGAGAGGACUGCAGCAGGCGAGUUCCGGAAGGCUGAAUCCCCAGGUCCCAGCCCCGGACCGCGGCAACUCGCCCCUGCGGCACGCCCGGCCCGGCUGCGCCCCCACUCAGCGAUGGAGGUAAAGAGGCGGCGGCCGCGCGCCCUGCCCCGGCUGCCGCUGCCGAGUCCCCGCUGCUCUCCUUGUCCUUCGCUCUCUUCUUCCUCCUCCUAGUCCCCUUCAGUUUCCUGGGCGAAGCAGAGGGCGACAUGGGUGGGUGGGUUGCUGCGCUGGGGCGAGGUGGGGUCGAUGUUGUUUUUUCAUUGUCUGGAGCUGCAGGGGAGGCGAGGCGCGGGGAAAGGGGCGAGGGGAGCCGGGGUAAUUAACACGGGGGAGGCACCCCUCCGUCUCCCACUUCCACCCACACCCCCAUCCCUCCACCCCCUCCGCUUUGCAGGAAAAAGCCUGGAUGCGAAAGGAUGGGGGAGAACAAAGAGCCUUUGGAAGACGUCGCUGUUAUCUCAUUGUCUGUGUGAUUGGGGGAGCUGCGGCGGGGAGGAUGCUGUGGUCCCUUCCUCCGGCGUUCCCCACCCCCAUCCCUCUCCCCGCUGUCAGUGCGCACGCACACGCGCCGCUUUUUAUUUCUUUUUCCUGGUUUUCUUAUUCCAUCUUCUACCCACCCCUCUUCCUUUCUUUCACCUUUCCUUCCUUCCUUCCUCCUUUCCUUCCUCAGGAGAAAGGCCUCUCUCUCCGUGUUCACAGCGGACCUUGAUUUAAAUGUCCAUACAAUUAAGGCACGCGGUGAAUGCCAAGAAUGGGGCUGGCUGAGCACCGUGGGUCGGCGAGGGCCCGCCAAGGAAGGAGCGACCGACCGAGCCAGGCGCCCUCCGCAGACCUCCGCGCAGCGGCCGCGGGCGCGAGGGGAGGGGUCUGGAGCUCCCUCCGGCUGCCUGUCCCGCACCGGAGCCCGUGGGGUGGGGAGGUGUGCAGCCUGUGACAGACAGGGGCUUAGAGAUGCAAACAGACUCAGGGAGAGAAACAGAAGCUGAUUCUGUGACAGAAGCAGAUCUGUGCAGCACAGAUGCGGUGUGCGUGGGGAGGGGGUCGCCUGGGAGCGCAUUGCGGAGUGCUUGUGUGUGCAGAUUUUUCUCUGGGCUCAGGACUCAUUGUAUGUGGGUCAACACCUUCCUCCGUGACUGUGUUUUUGUUCUGAGCUGAGUUUUUUGGUUUGCCCUUAAAAAAAUAAUAAUUUGGCAUCCAGAGACUGGCAGACUGCCUCAGGGCCUGGACUGCGGAUAUAUUGUGUUCUGCUUGAGGUUUGGGGAGGAGGGCAGGCGGUAGGAAGGGAGAGGGGGAGCUGUUUGUCACACUUUGCUGUAGAGCUGAGAGCACCUGACAAGCUUAAGGAAGUCGUUGGGCUAUGUGGACAAGAAGGAGCCAGCUCCCAGCGGGUUCACAAGCUCUAUCGGAGUUGAAAGCGUGGUCAUGGCUCUAAGGAGCACCUCACGCCCUCCCUGUAGCUGUUAUUGCAGUUUCAGGCAGAGAUCCAGGAGCUGCAGAGGAAGGGAGAGGCACAAUAACCUACAUGGACCCAAGGGAGACAUGUGUUCCUUUAAAAAUGUGAACAGAAGGAAAAACAGAAUGUGUGCAACUGGGGGUCUGAGGAAAGACUGUUUUGAAAGAGGCUGUCAGGGAAUGGAAAGGGUUAAGCUUUUCAUCCUGAAGAACCUGCUUCCCAAAUCAGGCCUUCCUCCCAUCACUAGACCCUGAGCAGCAGCUGGUCCUAGAGACCCCCCUCGUACUGCGCUGCCACAGUCUCAUCCCAUUUCCAGCUCUGUAUUAACCACCAAGCUGCAGCGGAUGGGGCAAGACCUAAGCUCAUUAAUUUCCAGGUGGAGGAAAUGGAGGAGGGGCAGGUCCCUGCAGUAGAGGGAGGAGCAGAGAAAGGAGGCCAAGAGCUGGAUCCUUCUGCCCAGGAAGCCUGCUGCAUCCCUUCCCCCGAGCAUGGCAGAGGCCUGGCUUUGCAAGGCCAAGGCCAUAAGGGAUGCUUAGGAGAUUAAUUUGAUUCCUGACACAAUAAUCAAGCCCUAAGAGUCUCCACUGAAGCUUACUGAGGACUUCUUUCCUCUCCAAAGCCUCAGUCUAGCCUGCUAAAUAAAUUAGUAUUCAGUGAUGCCUUGGAUCAGGGCCCCUCCCCGGCCUCAGUUUCCCCAAAUAUUUAUUAAGUACCUACUGUGUGCAAUCCUUGUGUAAUUAUUAACUCUUAGGCUCUUCAUUUGCCCUCCUAAAGCAGUGUUUAGAGUCAGGCAGAGGUUAAGUGUGUUGCACCUCACCUAGAUACUUCCAGAACCUUCUCUGGGUCUGCAGAAUGUGGCACAACCUGCUUGCCCCCGCAGAGAGAAAGCUGCAGUGCACAUCCUGCAGACUGCAGGUGCUGGGCUGCCUCUGGAGUCCCAGAAGGCAAGCUUGGCUGCAGGACAGAAAGGGAGAACAGCUUCUCUCACCCCUGAGCCUUCACAAGCCCUUGUCUAUUUGCCGUUGCCUUCAAAAUAUACCUCCCCCGAAACCAGUAGCUUUCUGAGUCCUGGUGUCCCCUCCGCCCUUUCUGGACAGGUUUGGGAAGAAGAAAGCAGUCAGUGCUGGGCCUUAUUGGGGUGUGAAGCGCCUUGCUCUGCCCCUUCUGCUCACUGUGAAGGCCGCUGGAUGCUUCUCUUAGGCAUGGUUUAAGCCUCCGAUUACUAAACCCCUUGCCCCACAAACGUCCACAUUGACGAGCCUCUUUUUAGUAACUGCUUCCCCGUAAUUCCUUCAGAGGUUGCUGUACCCUUCGCUGAUGUGCUGCCCUCCUGUAAAACCUCCAGAUGCCUUCCCACGUAAUGCCCCUUUCAGAUGCUUUAAGCUGAGAGCUUAAACCACAGGUACCAUGGCUGACGCCUGCCAGGUUUCUGCUGCAGAUAAUCUAUGAUGGGAGGGGCAUAUUUUUUACUUCAUUACUUAUGUAAACUCUUGUUCCAGAAAGCUUUAAUGUGUGUGGGAGUGUUCUGGGUCUAUUAGGUCUGUGCGCAUGGGUGUGGGCAUUUGCCUGUGUCCACCGGGUGGGUCUCAUUAUGAAAUGUAUGUUUAUGUAGGGCUUUAAUGGCUGAAAAUGGCAAAGAGAUGAAUAGACCACUUGGCCCCAUGUGUAAUUGCCAGGCCCCUUCUGUGCUCAAAUGAGGUGUCCGAGUGAAGGUCAGCCCUUCCCUUCUGUAUUUGGGGCCUAUUUAUGCCACCAGUAAUUUUAUAAGAAAUCUGAAUAGUUCUCCCCUUUGAGUGCAUUUAACUCUUUAGUAUCUUCUCUCUUACCUAUUUGAGCCCCUCUAGCUACAGUCUGGCUUAAAUGAAAGGGGAAUUAUAUGCUUAAGAAAAAGUAGGACACGGUUGAGGCAGUUUGCUGACUGAAUACGCGAAGAAGGACCUGAUGGGCUCAUAUGCACCACUGCCAUCACAGUCCCCAUCGUGAUGCAAGCUUAUAUGAUUCUUGAGAAACAGCCCAGAUCUCCUCUUAAGCGGAAAAGAGAUUGACCUUCUAGCAGAGGCAAAGGUAAACUCCUAAUGGAGUCUUCUGGGGGCAGCUGCAAAGCGUUCUCCCUAGGACAGAUGGAGCCUCCCUUUCCUCAUCUACUCUGUGGGUGGUUUCAGGGCCCACGAGUCAACAUGAGGAGUUGUGCUGGUGGUAUGUGUGUUGGAGGCUGGGCUGGCUGAUUCACAGUGACGAGGAUGUCAAUAAUAACAAGAAUGAGAAUGAUGGUACCUAAUAAAGACUUUUUUUCCCAAGUCCCAUCUACAAUUCUUUCAUUGGGUGUUUUGCCAAGUCUUUCUCAAUCUCAUCUCAGCUUUUUUUUUUUUUUUAAAGAAAAUGUAUUCAAUACUUAAUUGCAUCACAAAUGUAGACAUAGAAGAAAGGACUUCAAACGGAAUUUAUGGGAGGCAAUGUGUGCGGCUUUUUGCCUUAUAGAGCUGUGUAGAAGGUCUGGAAUGAUCUUCCAGCACCAAAUUUAGAUGGCCUCAAAAAAAAAAAAAAAAAAAAAAAAAUCAGGCCUUAUUGAGGGCAAGGAAUGUUCCAGGUCAGAAAUAAAAGUGUCAGCAACUCUCAAUAGGUUCAUCUUUUUAUUUCCUGUCCUUCUCCCUUUUGUCUUAAAAUAGAAACGCUACCAAGACCUGAGGGCCUGGGUCAGGGGCCGGGAAGCCCAGAAAACAAACUUCCAGAAUCACUAAGGGCUUUCUCUCUCAAAAUUACAGUGGGAGGGUUCUUUUGAAAUUCAAAUCCAACCUAUUUGUUGCUUAAGCACACACAAAAUACUGAGACCUGGGGUCCAAGAGGCAAUACUUCCGCUGCAAGUGCAUGUUGCAACUUCGCGUGAUGUUCCCAGGGCGGUUCUGCGGCAACUUGCGGCUCCGCGACUGUGGGCGCGGGCCCCAUUUCGGGCCCCGUCGGCCGGGACCGCGCCCAGGGCUUCUCAAGUGACUCGCUUCCCAGCACGCAAGAGGCAUUCUCGUCUCUUUCUCUUCGAAUGCACCCGAGACUUCUCCAUGAAGCAAGGAGAAGAUGAGCAGGCGCUGGUUUCCCUUUUCUUUUUUGCUCCCAUUUCCCAGUCUUGAUUUUUUUUUUCCCUUUCUCUCUCUCUCCCGAAUCAUGCAGACCUGGAACUCCUAAGAUUCGGGUCCUCCUGCAGUUCCCAAAGCUUUGGAUCCAUCCGAGGUGUGGGUAGAUGCGGGUUAGUCUCAGGGUCUUUCUAGGAUGAGCCCCAAGCCCAAGUUCUAAGGCGAGGGGGAGGCGAAGAGGUCAGGGCUACAAACGCCAGGGACUGUCCCCGGAGAGGUCAUUUUUCCAUUUUCCAUGCACAUCGAUUUCACUCUAGCGCCAGAUGGACACUCGACGGUCAACGUUAGAGAUUUUUCCGGAGUCGGGGGCAGGAAGCGGGACGAAUUGAGACGAGGGUACAUCCUUUGCUUCCAAGGGUGGCCGAGCCAGACCGAAGGCCUGGGCGGGAGGUCACGUCCUCCCCUGGCCACCCACAGCGCUCCCCAGCCGCAGGCCUGGGCCUAGAAGCCGCGCCCUCCCGGCCGUGCAGCCGGUCAGCCUGUGCGCCCGGCGCCCGCAGUGCGGCUCCGGGCCUCUCUCUGAUCCACUUCAGUACCUGCGGCCUCGAGGACCCCACCGUGCAUCCCGGAAAGCCUCAGAACUUGCAAGAAAGAGGGGCUGGCAGGUGCAGCCUGGGAAGAGGACCCCGCCGCGAAAGCGCUUGGGGGUUGGGUUUUAUUUGCUGGAGUGGGGGGUCCGUCUCAGUGCAUCCUCCUGGAUUCCCCAUUAGGACGCCCCGCCCAUACAUCCAGCCUCCUCUCCCGGAUACCCCCAGUGACCCGGCCAGGGAGCGGGCAUCUUCCCCCAGGACCCAGAGACGUGUCCUCGCCAUCCCCAAACACCGUCCUUCCCCACCCCCGCAACCCUCUCCACAGAAGCCAAAACCACAACAAAAAUCUUCAACCCACAAAGAAAAAGACACAUUCCUCCUUCGGCCUUAGUCAGCGUUAGUUCCAGAUCCGAAGCCGGAGGGGACGGAGCCGCUCGAAGUCGGUUGGAAGGAAGGCGCAGAAGGCUCUUUCUGUCUCCAUGAAUCUCCUUGCAAAUGCAACCGCUGCUGCCAUUAGGACGCGGUCUCUGUUUGCAAAAAAAACUCAAUUCCUUCCAUUUCCUCAUCUGUUGGGUCCAUCAGCGUGCAGUGAGUGAUGCAAGGUCCCUUUGGGUCAACAGGCCGUCCCCUGAAAUAACUUUCAGAGCCCUGGCCUCAAGGUCAUGGGCCGGGUGGCCUCUACAGGCCACAGGUCAGGACCAGGAUGUGCCUGACUGAGGCUGUGCCACCGAGAGCUUCGGACGUGCAGAAAGGUGCCCUGAGCUGCACGGGGGGCUUCUGUCAGCCCCCUCCCACUCUACACAGAUUGAUGUGGCAAUAUUUAUUCCCAUUUAAUUGAGACACUGGUUUAAUUUCAGAUUGCUUCGGCUUAAGGCCCAAUGGGGUUUUCUGCAGCUCUUUUCCCCAGUGCCUCUACAGAAAUUAAUUGCUGUUAAUAUCCAAUUUUGGCUUUAUUAUUCGUUAGCCAAUUAUGUAUCCCAUAGCCCAGGCCCCUUGCUGCUCUCAGCCUUUGCUGGAAUCAGCUCACACUAUGCCGGGCUUCUGCUUUUCUGCCUUCCCCUCUAUUCAAACUCUGUCCUCCCAAGAUGAUUUACCGGCCCGUCAGGCAUUUUGCUUGUGUCCCAGCGCUAGCUGAGCUGGCGGAGGUGUCUUUAAGACGUUUUCCCCCUUUUGAGGGAAAUGUCUUCUUUGCAGUGGACAUAAUUUCCAUUUAAAAAGGAAUCUAAGCUUCUCCACUCUCGCUUCACUAUCCUAAGAUUUGCUUUCUCUGGAGCCAUUUUUGGAGAGCAGUUUUCCAUCAAAAGCAAGCAAGGUGCCCCGGCAUCAGGGCUCCCCUCCCCACCUCCCUAGGAGCCCCUCCGAGACUGUCUUAAAGCCACCACAUAUACAUAACACCAUAGAUUCAAACAGGGUGCUUGGAGGAUGUCAUUCCACAUUUCAAGGAGGGAAACUUGAAAAAGCACUAUUUUCAGAGAUGAGGAGGGCAGCUCUCCCCUCGUCCCCCACAGAGGCCCUGGAAACCAUUCCAGCCUUGCACUGCGCAACCCUGCUUGAUGGAGCUGAUGCAACUGGGGGCGAGAGCCUUUAAAAAGUGUUCUUUUGCCUUGGUUUUUUGUGCCUUGAGUUCACAGAAGCAAACACUUCCCAUCACUGGUGCUCUGGAAACAGAAACAUACAAGUGAGAAUCCUAACGACAGCAGAGGCCCUUCUUUGUCUGCUUCCUCUCCUUCCCCCCUUGGAAAGAAUGCCUCCCAUGCCUUAAUGUGCCCUCACACUUAUCUCUAGCAGUUCCGUAACAACCUGCGCAGUGUCGGCAUCAGAACCGAAUGCAGAGAAAACAAAACGUCAGAGCCGCUGGCUUGGACUGCGGCCCCUACAGAUGAAGCCCGAGGUGGGAGGUUUUCUUCUCCGCCUGGAAAUCCUAUGGUCAGAUUUGUCGUAGGGGGGAGGUGGGUGGUGACUGUGGUGGAGGGCUGGGACAUUGUUAAGAAGGUGCCUUACGCAGAAGGCUCAAUAAAUACCACCCAAAUUGGAUGUAAUUAAAUUAGCAGCAGCUGUCCUGCUUUUCCUGUUGAAAGCUACAAUUAGGCAUGAAGGCCUCCUGGGCAAAGGCUAGUUAGAGUGGCGUCCUAGGAAAGGAGGGGGCUAACAGUGUUUCUGGUUCAUCUUCUAUCCUCAGCCCCUGCCUAGCUUGUCCAGAGGCAUGGAGUUUCUUUUCUUUUCUUUUCUUUUCUUUUUUUGUUUGCUCGUUUGUUUGUUUUUGAGAUGGAGUCUGGCUCUGUUGCCCAGGCUGGAAUGCAGUGGCAUGAUCUCGGCUCACUGCAACCUCGGUCUCCCAGUUUCAAGAGAUUCUUCUGCCUCAGCCUCCCGAGGAGCUGGGAUUACAGGCAUGCAUCACCAUGCCUGUCUCAUUUUUUGUAUUUUCAAUAGAGACAGGGUUUCACCAUGUCGGCCACGUGAAUUGGUAAUAUUCCAAAAAUAUUACCAAAGGACUGCCUAUGGUCUUGAAAUCCCGACCUCAGGUGACCCACUCGCCUUGGCCUCCCACAGUGCUGGAAUUACGGGCAGGAGCCACCGCACCCAGCUGAGUUUUAUUUUUAAAAUAGUCCAAGCAUAAAGACCCCACAUACCGUGCCC